CGAAUCGCCCUUCGGGGUGCACCAGGCGCGAAAACUUUACAAUGCCGGCAACGGCGAUAAGGGAACCUCGAGUGCCAGGUUACAAAUCUGGCUGUCGUGAUGCCUAAAAAGCAUUGCAUAGCAAGGGCCGGGCAAGACCGGUGCCAGCCGCCGCGGUAACACCGGCGGCUCGAGUGGUAACCGUUAUUAUUGGGUCUAAAGGGUCUGUAGCCGGCCGGGUAAGUCUCUUGGGAAAUCUGGCAGCUUAACUGUCAGGCUUUCAGGAGAUACUGCCUGGCUCGAGGCCGGGAGAGGUGAGAGGUACUUCAGGGGUAGGGGUGAAAUCUUGUAAUCCUUGAAGGACCACCAGUGGCGAAGGCGUCUCACCAGAACGGACCUGACGGCAAGGGACGAAAGCUAGGGGCACGAACCGGAUUAGAUACCCGGGUAGUCCUAGCCGUAAACGAUACCCGCUAGGUGUCGGCCACGGUGCGACCGUGGUCGGUGCUGUAGGGAAGCCGUGAAGCGAGCCACCUGGGAAGUACGGCCGCAAGGCUGAAACUUAAAGGAAUUGGCGGGGGAGCAC
RNAcentral lists this ribosomal RNA (565 nucleotides) under uncultured archaeon. Its description in RNAcentral is "bacterial SSU rRNA". It matches the Rfam family "Archaeal small subunit ribosomal RNA", at positions 314 to 879 of the family's 1478-position model. The record is from RNAcentral.